AUGGAGGCAUAUUCCACACCUAAGCCACCUUUGCAAGGGACAAAAUUUGACACCCCGGAGAGCGCACGUGACCACUACAGCACCUACGCACGCAGGACUGGCUUUGCAAUUAGGCAGCAAUUCAAGAAAGAGAGGGUUGAUGGAACUAUAAGCAGGGUGCUACUAGUUUGUACAAAAUAUGGCAAACGACGCAAGGACAGGGAUGAGCUGCAAGAUGUGGAAAACCCAGCCAGCAUUGUCAAGAAGAGGAAAAAAAAUAAAGUUGUUAGGACUGAAUGUGAAGCGCACAUGUACCUAUCCCACGAUGAUGCAUGGUGGACUGUUGACCGUUUCGAGGACACCCACAAUCACCCCUUGAUCAAAAAGCCUUCCCUAACAAAAUUCUUAUCAUCACAUCGGUACAUUCCGAAAGAGGAGCAGGACUUCUUGAGGGUUCUGCACGGAUGCAACAUUGAGACUGCGAGGCAGAUGUAGCUGAUGUCAUGGUUCUACGGGAGCGCUAAAGACGUACCCUACACGACACACGACAUUAUCAACGAGCUAAGUUCCGCUUAG
This 555-nucleotide ribosomal RNA is filed under the name Triticum aestivum (bread wheat). Its description in RNAcentral is "partial small subunit ribosomal RNA". The record is from RNAcentral. Lineage: Eukaryota; Viridiplantae; Streptophyta; Magnoliopsida; Poales; Poaceae.